Molecule: small RNA, 545 nt
Filed under: Pongo abelii (Sumatran orangutan)
Lineage: Eukaryota; Metazoa; Chordata; Mammalia; Primates; Hominidae
Description: retained intron
Source: RNAcentral
AUACUGCUUUAAAUAUCAUGAUACCAUGAACUCUAAAGAAUUGAAAAGUGCUUGUGAGUUGGUUAUCAAGGGGGAGGAUAUACCAAAUGGCCAUUUUGUUCAAUAUGUGUUCUAGAAAUGAAAAGCCAUACUAAGAUACUGUCUUGGUCCAAAAUCUAUGUAAAAUUUGUUUUGAAAUGUCUUUCAAAAAUAUUCCCUUUUGAAAAUUAUAUCAGUAAGAAUAUUUAUUAAACAUCAGGUCUAAAUUAUUUUUACUCCAAAGUAAAACAUGCAUGUCCUUCUUAAUAGGCCACAUUCAAAGGAUGGAUGGAUAUAAUGUAUGCAGCAGUUGAUUCCAGAAAUGUGGAACUCCAGCCUAAGUAUGAAGAAAGUCUGUACAUGUAUCUUUACUUUGUUAUUUUCAUCAUCUUUGGGUCCUUCUUCACCUUGAACCUGUUUAUUGGUGUCAUCAUAGAUAAUUUCAACCAGCAGAAAAAGAAGUUUGGAGGUCAAGACAUCUUUAUGACAGAAGAACAGAAGAAAUACUAUAAUGCAAUGAAAAAAUU